This 441-nucleotide ribosomal RNA is filed under the name uncultured bacterium. RNAcentral describes it as "partial 16S ribosomal RNA". It matches the Rfam family "Bacterial small subunit ribosomal RNA", at positions 338 to 795 of the family's 1533-position model. The record is from RNAcentral.
CCUACGGGAGGCAGCAGUGGGGAAUAUUGGACAAUGGGGGAAACCCUGAAGCAGCAACGCAGCGUGAGUGAAGAAGGCUCUCGGAUUGUUAAGCUCUGUUUGUAGGGAAGUGGAAGGACGGUCGCUGCAGAUGAAGCAACGGCGAAGUACGUGCCAGCAGCCGCGGUAAUACGUAGGUGGCAAGCGUUUUUCGGAAUAACUAGGCGUAACGGAUGCGUAGGCGGUUAAACAAGUUAGAUGUUAAAUAUUUAGGCUUAACCUGUAGAAAGCAUAUGAAACUGGUUAACUAGAGUGCAGGAGAGGUAAGUGGAAUUCCUAGUGUAGCGGUGAAAUGCUUAGAGAUUAGGAAGAACACCAGUGGCGAAGGCGACUUACUGGACUGUAACUGACGCUGAGGCAUGAGAGCAUGGGGAGCAAACAGGAUUAGAUACCCCGGUAGUC